GGUUAAGCUAUAAAGGGCGCAUGGUGAAUGCCUUGGCAUCGGGAGCCGAAGAAGGACGUGAUAAGCUGCGAUAAGUUUCGGGUAGGCGCAAAUAGCCUGUGAUCCGGAAAUCUCCGAAUGAGGAAACUCACAUGGGAAACCCCAUGUAUCCUUAAGUGAAUACAUAGCUUAAGGAGGGUACACUCAGGGAACUGAAACAUCUAAGUACCUGAAGGAAGAGAAAGAAAAAUCGAUUUCCCUAGUAGCGGCGAGCGAAAAGGAAAGAGCCCAAACCAGAAAUUUAUUUCUGGGGUUGCGGACAGAACAUAAAUACUAAAUUGCGUUAAUCGAAGAGAACUGGAAAGUUCCACCGUAGGAGGUAAUAGUCCUGUAGAUAAAAAUGCGAAAUAGUCAGUUCUGAUCCAGAGUACCACGAGACACGUGAAACCUUGUGGGAAGCAGGGAGGACCACCUCCCAAGGCUAAAUACUACCCGAUGACCGAUAGUGAAGCAGUACCGU
RNAcentral lists this ribosomal RNA (499 nucleotides) under Clostridium paridis. Its description in RNAcentral is "Bacterial large subunit ribosomal RNA". It matches the Rfam family "Bacterial large subunit ribosomal RNA", at positions 1 to 504 of the family's 2925-position model. The record is from Rfam by way of RNAcentral. Lineage: Bacteria; Bacillati; Bacillota; Clostridia; Eubacteriales; Clostridiaceae.